AAAGCGUGCGCAGGCGGUUAUACAAGACAGGCGUGAAAUCCCCGGGCUUAACCUGGGAAUGGCGUCUGUGACUGUAUGACUAGAGUGUGUCAGAGGGGGGUAGAAUUCCACGUGUAGCAGUGAAAUGCGUAGAUAUGUGGAGGAAUACCAAUGGCGAAGGCAGCCCCCUGGGAUAACACUGACGCUCAUGCACGAAAGCGUGGGGAGCAAACAGGAUUAGAUACCCGAGU
Molecule: ribosomal RNA, 230 nt
Filed under: uncultured bacterium
Lineage: Bacteria
Description: partial 16S ribosomal RNA
Rfam family: Bacterial small subunit ribosomal RNA
Source: RNAcentral